CAUUUAAAUGUUGGUCAGUUGAGGCCUAAAUUAACAUUUAAUUAGUAAACUCAUUACAAAGGCAGGAAGUCUCAGACUUUCCCUUCAUUCUCUUUCAGGCCUCUGAAGGAAAGAACCAGGCCCGUCUUUGGCUUUUGAUUCAGCAGAUGAGUUUGUUUUCUUUUUGUUCUCUCUCCUGGCUACCCUCCACCCCCUUCUACUUUCAGGACAAUUUCUUUCCCCGAAGCAGACAGAAUUGGAAGGAAAUAAUUGACUGGUAAUGAUUUAUAUCUUGCUCCAGAAUUUCACUGUAACAGGCAUCCUGUAUCAGAAUGCUCUCAGUAAGUACUAAGCAUCCUCUGUUGAUGGGAUGUGAAAUAGAGGUUUCUACAUAUGUUGGUGGUUGAACAAACAGCUUAUAUGACAGAUCAGCUUUCCAGACCCAUCCUUCAUUUGUGAAUCACGCUGUAUCAGACCCCAGAGAAGGAACUCAGGUCAUAUCAUCUUAAUUCUCCUUCCUGAAGCACUAAUUUGUCCCUUAUAGCUGUAAAUAGUCUUAUAUAGCCAGCUCAAAUGUAGAUGCAAGCAUGAAAUAAGACCAGAUAUAUCCCACACCUCACCUAGGUGCCUGCAUAGUCCAGAGCUUCCUGCAAGCAUCUGAGUUACUGUACAAGCACUGACUGGAGAUCCACAUACAUGCCAUAAAACUGUGUUCCCAGUUUUGCAUACGUAACCAGACCACAGUGUAACAGUUCAAUGAAAAAGGUAUGAAUGAACAGUAGAAGAAUGACCCAGCUUGCUGAUGGUAUCCCCAAGAGAAUUUGCCACUGUGCUUUAGAGGUUAAACCUCCUCUAAAACCAGCUUUCUUUCUAAAUUUUAUUUCUUAUUGCCAGAAAUAAAUAAACUCUGGUGCAAGGUUACUGGAUAAUAGGUUGAGCCUGUUGGUUUGUAAAACACAUGAUUCUCCAAAGCAGCAAAUGUCUGGCUUCAAAACAUGCACUUCAAGAAUAAGAAUAAAAUCUUACAAGAAUCAGUUCAGCUAUUUUUUUUUAACUUUUAAUUAAAAUCAGGAAUAGAAAUAGAACAGCCCAGAGUUCAUGACCUGUUCAGGAAUGCAAUUAGCCCAUAAAAAUCAUGAUUGGGAUUUGUUGCAAGGUAGAAACACAAUCCCUUAAAAAAAAAAAAAAAAAAAAAAAAAAAAAAAAAAAAAAAAAAAGCCCCUUUGCAAAGUACCAAAUGAUGGAGAAGGACAAAAUAAGGGAGAGAUGAGCUGUUUUUAUUUUAACCCAAUUUCCCUCCCUCCUCAACCAGAAAAAGCUGUAAAAGAACAGACACAUCACCUCCUGUAGUCAAGUUUCACAGCAAACAAGAAGUUCCGAGCAAAUCCAUGAUGACUUUUAUCUCUCUAAGUCUAAUCCCAUGAUAAACCUCUUGUUUCCUAUACUUGAUGUUCCACUAUUUCACUAGUUGUGAAUUGUGAUGGCUCACGACAAGGGCUCACAUUGUGGAUGGCUCACAAUGAACAAACAGAACCUGACAGUUUCCUUCCUUAAAGUAAACAGAGGUGGUACUUAGACACAGUUCAAAGAGUUUAGCAUUCCCAGAUUGGCUAUUAUUACUCUUUUGGUGGGCAAAGAGACCCAGUACUUCAUUCUAGUAAAAGCACCUUUUUUUAUUUUUCUCCUUUCCCAUUGUUUUUUACUGGCAGUUCAAUGACUACACAGUUACCAAGCAUGCUUUUCUUUUACAGUCUUCCACUUUUCCAUGCAAGGUAGUCUACACAUUUACAUCACUGCUUGUUUACUUCUUUCUUCUUUUCUGAGAAAAAGUCAUGCCUUUUGUAUUUCUCAUAGAGUUUUAACAGUGGUCCCUCUGUCCUCAGAGCUGUGUGGUACUAGAUUGUUACCAGCAGAGCAAAGGAUUAUAUGUUAAUAAUAAAGUGACGUCUACAAGGCCUUUGCUGUGAAGAUUUUUGAGAGUAUGAGGUAAACCUACAAUACCUACAAAUUCUCCUUUUUAGUCAUUAAUAAUCACAGAUUCUAGGACAUCUACAAUGGAAAUGAGCUUUUUAAGGGAUCUUAAGUACCAUCAUCUACAAAGAUCUACAAAGAGUUCAUAAAAUAUAUGCUGUGAAAAAGAGUGUAAAGUAAAAUACAUUUGGUAUUCUGAAUUAAACUCUUGUUUAGAAACUCCUUCAUCAUUGAGAUCUGUGCUUUUUUCUAUGUGAGUGUAAGAAUAUGCCUAUAGUGCCGUAACCUUUGGUUAUACACCAAGAGGAUAGGUGGAAGGGAAUUUGUCUCCUCUAACAUUAAAUAUCAAAUAUAGGACUAAUGUACUGGAACAAAUCCAGAGGAGGGUGACCAAGAUGGAAUUCCUACUGGAAUAUACAGCAUAAAAGGUGAGGCUGAGCGUCCUGGGUCCUAGUCAUCACUUAUCUUAUACCACUAGUUAAUGCAGCUAUGGGAACAUGCAGGGACGACAGCCACAACCUUCUCAGAGCUGCACAGGAAAAGGUUUAAGAUAACAGAUGCAGGAAAUUGCUAAGAUAUCAGUUUUUUUUUUUUUUUUUUUCUCCUUGAAGGUGGUCAAACAGUGGAAUAGAGAUCCAAUGAGGCUGUGAAAUGUCCAUCUUUAGAGAUAUCCAAAACUUGAUCAGAUGAGACUAUUUAAGUUCAGUGAUGACUCUGCUUUGAUUGAGGAGUUGAACCUAUGAUCUCCAUAUAACUUUUCAAAGCCAAAUUAUGAUUGCAUGAUUUAUCACAAUAGAAAGAUAGCUUUAUUGGCUCCCUCUGUAAAGUGUAUUCCACCAUUCUAAAGGUAUCUCAUUUUGUUGUGUGUAAUGGUCCUGACUUGUCUGUUUCUUUCUCUGUUGACUAUAGGAGUACUCUAGGAAGUACCUUAGCAUAGUAGAUGUAUAAACUCAAUUGAGAUAAAAUAUAUUCCUAGUCAUCCAAGUCUCAGUUGCCAGUGCAUAGGAAUUUUGAGCUUAUUGAGACACUCUGAGUAUCUAAGCCAUCUCCAGAUGCUGGAAAAUAUGACACAGGGCUUCUCAAGUGACACUUGGCACUUAAUUGUGGGCAGUGAAGACAAGCUCAUGUUUUUAGAUGGAAUAAAUCCAGGUCCAGGUGUCUUCCCAGUAAGAAUGUAAAGAAAAAAAUUCAGCUCUACCUAUUUUUCAGUGGCAAUUUGGACUUCUGCUUUGGGCAGGCAAUAUUCUAAGCAGUGAAUAAAGGCAGACAUUAAUAUAUUGUUAGGUACAUUAUACAAUGGUAGUGCUCUGCAGCUCCCAUUGUGAUAAGUGUAAUUGAAUUUUUCCAGGAAUUGAGUUAUUAUUGCUAUGUCCUCUAAUUAAAAAAGUGUUUCUAUUGUAAAAAAAGAAAAGAAAAAAAAAAAAGGAAAACUGAAAACUCUUUUUUUUUAGAUGGAAUACUUUCAGAGGUUUAUUUUGGAAAUGUGAAGGUUUUAAAGUUCUUGACAAAAAUUUCCUGUUUUGCACAGAAGGUGCAUGCCUCUUCUGAUAAAAUACAUGUGACUCCAUAAUUCUCAGCUUAGUAAUGAUAGGAGAGAAAUGCUUUGAACACACCAAAGGAGGGAUCUCUGUAAUGAAACCAAUUCAUUUUUUUGGCAUAGAAAUCUUUGUAAUUUACAAAAUGCUCUAGAAAGGCCAAAGAUUCAGAGAAACGUAAAUACUCAAGGUUUAAAUUUGAAAGUCACAAUGUGCUUGAAGGAGAAAUAGAACAUUUGCUGGUGCUUCUAGACCUGUUGCAGGUAAGAAUAAGGUGAUGGGUCACUAAUUUUGCUGACACUGUGCUGAGGUUAGGACUUCAACAAAUGUUUUUGAUUAUCUCACUUGGUUAGAGGGUGUGAGCAAAAAAACACAACCAAAACAGCAUUUCUAAUCAAGAGAGAAGUGAUCGUGGUACUCUUACACCAUUUCAAGGUUGUCUUCAUUUGUUCACAUUGCUGUUACCAUGAUAUGAUGGUAUCUUGAAUGUGUGAAGUAGUGUUGGGUCAGGUUUGUUGACACUGGUGACAAAACCAGGGAAGGGGCAAACUGGGAUGCUGUGGCUAUGAACAUCUUAGUUGUCUUUUCCAACCUUAAUGAUUUUACAAUUUUGUGAUACACUGUAAUCAUCCCCUUUCUAUAGCUGAGUAAACUGAGGCACAAUGAGGAGAUGCUAACCAAAGAGCUUUACAAAGACACGGCCUACAAGAGAAGUGAGUUCUCCUGAUUCCUCAGCAUUUGCCUUUUAAUCACCAGACCAUGAAUCCUGUUUGCUUUGUUUUCUUGGGUUUUGUGCAUGUUUGUUUUCCUCUUUCAUGUUCCUAAUGGUGCUGGUCCAUAGCAGGCAGUGGACAGCUGACAGAUUACAGGAGGUGCCUGGCUGAAAUGGGAGGCAGGAUGCUUCACCAGCUCUGGGGCUAUUUAACAUUUUCCUACCCUGUGGAUCUGGGUCCCUCCCACUCGUGCUCAUAUAACAUCCCCGGGGCAAGGACAGCAAUCACCUAAAUGGAAAAAGGAAACAUUUCCUGUGCCUUUAACUACUUUUAGUGCAAUUUGGCAGCUUCAAAGAAAGCAACGUGCUUAGUUAAGAGUCAGCCAGCACUUCAUAAGUAUCUAGAAACCCGUGAUUUCCAUGCACAAAUCCAUUAGAAGAAGCUGCACUGUAGGAGCUAGGAAAUAUUUCCUGACCUCCACAAGGUACAAAAUAUCCAAAAGAAAGUGGUUUUAAACAGAACACCUGGGGUUGGUUUUUACCCUCACUUCACAGAACUUUAUAUUAGGUUCCUUCUGCUUCAUUUGUUAUAACGUAAGUGCACAGGCACCAGUGAAUCAUCUUCACUUUCAUACCUCUCUGUUCUUCCACAGAAAGCUCCUGUUAGCAGAUCAGAGAAAAAGAGACAGAGCAGGACAAGGCCACCAGCACGAAUGCUGGAGGAGGCUCUUGCCCUUUCUCUUUACCUCACAGGUUCUGCAAAACUGUUAAACCACAGUCCUGACUAGUUUACAGGCAGGGAGGAUUGGCCUAAGCCAGUGAGGUAAAGCUUUACUGCAACUGCCUAAAGUGUGUCUGUUGGCACUCCUAUUUAAUUGUUGCAUUUUCCUCCUUUCUUUUUCCAUCAGCAUAUCCAGAUCUUAUUUUUGGCGUUAUGGUAUCAGAAAAGAAAACAAUUCUGUGUGCAUAGCAAAAUGGCUUUGAUAACACUGAGAGAUGCUUUAAAACCUUGUGUAAGAGUAAUUUCCUGAUUUGAUGUCAAAUGCAGUUGUGUAUCUACAACUGAACUUUAGUGCAGAUGUGAUUUCAACCUCCACUGAAAUGACUUAGAAAUGUUCUUGGGUGCAAAAAGCUAAAAUGCCUUAAGAGUGGUACUUAAAUACACCAGCCCCAGGAAGAGCCUCAGUAUACCUUAAAUAACCCAGUAGGUCUUUCAGGGCAGCAGACAAUAACUGAUUAUUACUGGUGCUAUCCUGGUGUCUCCUAUGGACCAAACUAGUAGACAAAACUCCACUGUACUCAGUGUUGUACAAAACCAGCUUGGACACAGGUCCUGCUGCAAAAAGCUGAGAACAGAAGCUGAUUUGUGUCCUGGCCAAAUAAAUGGCCAUUCCUUGGAGAUCAGGGCACCACUGCCAUGUAUCACUCAUCCCUAUGUCCAGGCACAGAUCACAAACAGAAAAACUCCUUCAGAGCUCCUCUGCACAUUAAUUUCUUGAAUGUAGGCAGUGAGAUACAGAUCCAUGACCAGGACAAUAAGUAAUGGCUUCAAGCUAUUGCAGGGGAGGUUCAGGUUGAAUGCUAGAAAAAACUUCUUCAUAGAGAAGGUUGUGAAGCAUUCUAACAGGCUGCCUGGAGAGAUGGUAGGGUCACUGUCCCUGGAGGUAUUCAUGAAAAGGAAAGGCACAGAGAGACAUGAUUAGUGGGAAUGGUAGUGGUGGGUUGGUGGUUGGACAGGUAUAUCCUAGUGGUCUUUUCUACAACCUUAGUGAUUCUACAUUUCCAUGACCAUAUACCCUCUUCAGGACAUCAAGAAUAUUUCAUCAUGCUUAUUUGUGGGGCUAUUUUCUCUCAGCUUUAGGGAAAUGUAGCUGAUGCUGCAAGAUAAAAAAUAAUAAUAAAUGGAUACAGACCAGAGAGCACCUGAGAUGUCUGUAUUAUCUC
This is a long non-coding RNA of Gallus gallus (chicken), 6141 nucleotides long. RefSeq lists it as uncharacterized. The record is from RefSeq and is a predicted model, not a curated record. NCBI's taxonomy places the organism in Eukaryota, Metazoa, Chordata, Aves, Galliformes, Phasianidae. The transcript has 3 exons.